AAGAACUACGUAGUGGCUUGAUCCAAAUUUGACUUUUUGGGUACGUAGGUAGCCGUUUGUAAUGUACUAGAAUAUCGGUGCAGCCACAAAUCUUUUUUCUCCUUUGAAUUGUAACAGACUGUAUCGGUUGCAUUUUUCUCUAUCAUACAGGUUGUGGCUAUCAAAGAUAUAAUAUCACCUCCUUAUAGGGAAACAUUUAAUGAUGUGUACAGAGUAAAGGUAGCGAUAGAAAUUGUUGGUCGAUUGUGGCUUGUAGACAAAGGGAUGAGUAACCAACAAUACAAAUAUGGGAGGCCUUCCCCAGGUA
Molecule: long non-coding RNA, 307 nt
Organism: Magnolia sinica
Lineage: Eukaryota; Viridiplantae; Streptophyta; Magnoliopsida; Magnoliales; Magnoliaceae
Exons: 2
Source: RefSeq, a predicted model, not a curated record